AMCCAGCACCUCAAGUGGUCAGGAUGAUUAUUGGGCCUAAAGCAUCCGUAGCUCGUUUUGUAAGUUUUCGGUUAAAUCCAUACGCUUAACGUAUGGGCUGCCGGGAAUACUGCAUAACUAGGAAGUGGGAGAGGUAGACGGUACUCGGUAGGAAGGGGUAAAAUCCUUUGAUCUAUUGAUGACCACCUGUGGCGAAGGCGGUCUACCAGAACACGUUCGACGGUGAGGGAUGAAAGCUGGGGGAGCAAACCGGAUUAGAUACCCGGGUAGUCCCAGCUGUAAACUAUGCAAACUCAGUGAUGCAUUGGCUUGUGGCCAAUGCAGUGCUGCAGGGAAGCCGUUAAGUUUGCCGCCUGGGAAGUACGUACKCAAGUWUGAAACUUAW
This 385-nucleotide ribosomal RNA is filed under the name uncultured crenarchaeote. RNAcentral describes it as "bacterial SSU rRNA". It matches the Rfam family "Archaeal small subunit ribosomal RNA", at positions 474 to 859 of the family's 1478-position model. The record is from RNAcentral. Lineage: Archaea; Thermoproteati; Thermoproteota.